CAUAAGCGACCAAAUGGAAGCGGCCCAAGACCGGAGCACCCUGUUUCUCUCACUAAACCGCUGUUUGAGAAAAGGAGAGAGAGUUUAGGGCAUGAGAAGGGAGUGGGGCUAGGGCAUAUAUAUAUCGGUGUGCUUGUAAUCUGAGGGUUUUGGAAUUUCCAAAGAGGGAUUGAAACCAUUAUUACACUCCAAAACCGACACCCACAUUGAGAGCCAAUUGUAAGGUAUAGCAUCCUGGUGGCUACUUCAAUUCAAACUCUCUCUCUCUCUCUCUCUCUCUCUCUCUCUCUCUUGUUU
RNAcentral lists this long non-coding RNA (297 nucleotides) under Actinidia chinensis (golden kiwifruit). Its description in RNAcentral is "long non-coding RNA (ACHI_LNC006475)". The record is from RNAcentral. Lineage: Eukaryota; Viridiplantae; Streptophyta; Magnoliopsida; Ericales; Actinidiaceae.